CUUUGGUAGCCUCCUUACUUGCUCCACUUGCUUCAGAGAGAGAAGUGCGGGUUUGCGGUUUAGUGAAGGAGCAAGGCUCAUGUGAAUAGAAGAAUCCAAGGUAGAGCAGGAAGAGAAAUCCAGCUAGAGAAAGAGGUGGAAGUCAAAAUAAGUAGACUCUUAUUUUAAAUUUUUAAUGGCUUCUUGGUGGCUUCAAGAUAAAAGAUAGACAAUGAGGAGCUUUGUGUUUGGGAAAAGAAUAAAAGUCAACUGUAGCAAAACCUCUCAGAAGUAGGAUUUAUAAACAGUUCUCAAAGGAUGCACAUGAAAAUGUAAUUUCUUGGGAAAGUGGCAAACAGAAAAGAAUCAAACCGCAGUUGUGUGUGGCAAGGAUAAAUAUGCAACGCACCAUCAAUAGGAUUUGUUGGGUGAAUAAAAAAGCCUUUUAGCCAACAAUAUGUAAGCAGAAGAAUGGAGCAGGAGUUAGAGAGAACCCUCAAGCAAUAAUGGAGGCCACUGGAGAGGCAAGACUGCCAAAGGCUAAGUUAUUGACCCAGUAUUUUUAAAACUGCCUCCGAAAAGAAGCCUGAACGAAAGAAAAUAAUUUGUGCUAUUAGAAUGUAUUUUUCCUUUGUGUUCCUAUCUACUUCCUUCACAAGCUAUUUUUGGAUGACAGGAUGGAGUCUCCAGCUGUGAAAGUGUUGCUGCAGACAGCCCUCAGCUUCCAGUUCUUGUAAAAAUGGCCUCAGCUUCAGAGAGCUCCAUUACCCAAGCUCAUUCAUUUCCUGGGGUGUUCUGCAUCCAGUGAGUGUUCUGUGGACUUGCCAGAACACUCACUUUUGGAACCUGGCCACCAUGUUGGAAGGAAUCCCAGAGCACAUGAGGAGGCCUUUUGGGGGUGUUCCAGCUGACAGCCUUAGCUAAGGUCUUAGCUAAUAGUCAGCAUCAACUGCUGGCAAGUGAACAAGGCUUCAGAUGAUUCCAGCCCUCAGCUUUCCAGCUGAAAACAUUG
Molecule: long non-coding RNA, 991 nt
Filed under: Homo sapiens (human)
Lineage: Eukaryota; Metazoa; Chordata; Mammalia; Primates; Hominidae
Description: HSALNT0318243
Source: RNAcentral